RNAcentral lists this microRNA precursor (61 nucleotides) under Drosophila ananassae. RNAcentral's name for it is "Dan-Mir-33_pre stem-loop". It matches the Rfam family "mir-33 microRNA precursor family", at positions 6 to 65 of the family's 69-position model. The record is from RNAcentral. Lineage: Eukaryota; Metazoa; Arthropoda; Insecta; Diptera; Drosophilidae.
GUGCAUUGUAGUCGCAUUGUCUGUCCCACUUGCUCCAGGCAAUACAACUGCAGUGCAAGCU